GAUAAUACUGACGCGAUGUCCAGAUUUGGAUGUCUCAUCUCUGAACAAUUGAAACGCCGAAUACUCCAUGAAAGCUUGCCUAGCGGCUUUUGCGCAAUAUUAUAUCUUUGGACGUUUGCACUUCCGCGGCUCUAGACAUGAGCUUCCUUAUAUGAGUGCUAGCGCGCUACAUUGCAGAGAAAGCUUUGAGAAAAUGCUUUGUUGGGAUGAUAGACAAGAAUAAUCAAUCCUCAUUCCAAGGAGUUGUGUAAGUACUAAUUAUGCCAACCUGGGGCAACACUCUAAUGGUUUCUCCACAAAGGAUGCCUCCUGGAGCUCUACUUCUCUCCCACCCCCAACA
Long non-coding RNA from Triticum aestivum (bread wheat), 340 nucleotides. RefSeq lists it as uncharacterized. The record is from RefSeq and is a predicted model, not a curated record. NCBI's taxonomy places the organism in Eukaryota, Viridiplantae, Streptophyta, Magnoliopsida, Poales, Poaceae. The transcript is spliced from 3 exons.